RNAcentral lists this ribosomal RNA (185 nucleotides) under uncultured bacterium. RNAcentral describes it as "partial 16S ribosomal RNA". It matches the Rfam family "Bacterial small subunit ribosomal RNA", at positions 1315 to 1500 of the family's 1533-position model. The record is from RNAcentral.
CCUGCAUGAAGUCGGAAUUGCUAGUAAUCGCGGAUCAGCAUGCCGCGGUGAAUACGUUCCCGGGCCUUGUACACACCGCCCGUCACACCAUGGGAGCCGGUAAUACCCGAAGUCAGUAGUCCAACCUCGUGAGGACGCUGCCGAAGGUAGGAUUGGCGACUGGGGUGAAGUCGUAACAAGGUAUC